This 73-nucleotide transfer RNA is filed under the name Trialeurodes vaporariorum (greenhouse whitefly). RNAcentral describes it as "tRNA-Arg for anticodon UCU". It matches the Rfam family "tRNA". Rfam says of the family: Transfer RNA (tRNA) molecules are approximately 80 nucleotides in length. Their secondary structure includes four short double-helical elements and three loops (D, anti-codon, and T loops). Lineage: Eukaryota; Metazoa; Arthropoda; Insecta; Hemiptera; Aleyrodidae. The record is from RNAcentral.
GUCCCCGUAGCGCAGUGGAUAGCGCGUUGGACUUCUAAUUCAAAGGUCGUGGGUUCGAUCCCCACCGGGGAUG